UGAAAUUGAACUCGCUGUGAAGAUGCAGUGUACCCGCGGCAAGACGGAAAGACCCCGUGAACCUUUACUAUAGCUUGACACUGAACAUUGAGCCUUGAUGUGUAGGAUAGGUGGGAGGCUUUGAAGUGUGGACGCCAGUCUGCAUGGAGCCGGCCUUGAAAUACCACCCUUUAAUGUUUGAUGUUCUAACGUGGACCCGUGAUCCGGGUUGCGGACAGUGUCUGGUGGGUAGUUUGACUGGGGCGGUCUCCUCCUAAAGAGUAACGGAGGAGCACGAAGGUUGGCUAAUCCUGGUCGGACAUCAGGAGGUUAGUGCAAUGGCAUAAGCCAGCUUGACUGCGAGCGUGACGGCGCGAGCAGGUGCGAAAGCAGGUCAUAGUGAUCCGGUGGUUCUGAAUGGAAGGGCCAUCGCUCAACGGAUAAAAGGUACUCCGGGGAUAACAGGCUGAUACCGCCCAAGAGUUCAUAUCGACGGCGGUGUUUGGCACCUCGAUGUCGGCUCAUCACAUCCUGGGGCUGAAGUAGGUCCCAAGGGUAUGGCUGUUCGCCAUUUAAAGUGGUACGCGAGCUGGGUUUAGAACGUCGUGAGACAGUUCGGUCCCUAUCUGCCGUGGGCGCUGGAGAACUGAGGGGGGCUGCUCCUAGUACGAGAGGACCGGAGUGGACGCAUCACUGGUGUUCGGGUUGUCAUGCCAAUGGCACUGCCCGGUAGCUAAAUGCGGAAGAGAUAAGUGCUGAAAGCAUCUAAGCACGAAACUUGCCCCGAGAUGAGUUCUCCCUGACCCUUUAAGGGUCCUGAAGGAACGUUGAAGACGACGACGUUGAUAGGCCGGGUGUGUAAGCGCAGCGAUGCGUUGAGCUAACCGGUACUAAUGAACCGUGAGGCUUAACCUUACAACGCCGAAG
This 906-nucleotide ribosomal RNA is filed under the name Shigella sonnei. RNAcentral's name for it is "partial 23S ribosomal RNA". It matches the Rfam family "Bacterial large subunit ribosomal RNA", at positions 2037 to 2925 of the family's 2925-position model. Lineage: Bacteria; Pseudomonadati; Pseudomonadota; Gammaproteobacteria; Enterobacterales; Enterobacteriaceae. The record is from RNAcentral.